This 518-nucleotide ribosomal RNA is filed under the name Planctomycetota bacterium. RNAcentral's name for it is "bacterial LSU rRNA". It matches the Rfam family "Bacterial large subunit ribosomal RNA", at positions 2392 to 2925 of the family's 2925-position model. Lineage: Bacteria; Pseudomonadati; Planctomycetota. The record is from RNAcentral.
AGCAGAUGCGAAAGCAGGCCUUAGUGAUCCGGUAGUUGCGUGUGGAAGCGCUAUCGCUCAACGGAUAAAAGGUACUCUAGGGAUAACAGGCUUAUCUCCCCCAAGAGUCCAUAUCGACGGGGAGGUUUGGCACCUCGAUGUCGGCCCGUCGCAUCCUGGGGCUGAAGAAGGUCCCAAGGGUUUGGCUGUUCGCCAAUUAAAGCGGCACGCGAGCUGGGUUCAGACCGACGUGAGUCAGGUCGGUCCCUACCUUCCGUGGGUGUAGGAGAUUUGAGGAGUUCUCUCCCUAGUACGAGAGGAUUGGGAGGGACGGACCUCUGGUGUUCCUGUUGUCGUGCCAGCGGCAGCGCAGGGUAGCUAUGUCCGGUUCGGAUAAGCGCUGAAGGCAUAUAAGCGCGAAGCCAGUUCCAAAACGAGAUCUCCCCAUCAGGGUCCUGGAAGACCACCAGGUUGAUAGGCCGGAGGUGUAAGCGCAGCGAUGUGUUUAGCUGACCGGUACUAAUCGCCCGAUCGGCAUA